This 869-nucleotide long non-coding RNA is filed under the name Piliocolobus tephrosceles (Ugandan red Colobus). RNAcentral's name for it is "lncRNA (ENSPTEG00000006855.1)". The record is from RNAcentral. Lineage: Eukaryota; Metazoa; Chordata; Mammalia; Primates; Cercopithecidae.
CGGUGAACCUGGGGUUCGUGUGAGGGCACUGGGUGUAGAAUAGAUGCUCAGUCAAAGGUGGCUACAUUGUGUCAUUGCCAUAAGGGUCGUGAUUGUCCCACCACUCAUUAUCCUAGUCUGAUUUUAGCUUCUGCUCUCUGGUGAAUCUUGAGUUCUGUAGCCUUGCUCCAAGCUCUGGGAUUUCAGCUAUAAUUAGUCUUAUACACAGUGCCAUGCCUGGAACUUCCAGGCUAGGAGAAGAGACUGGACUUAACAAUUGAUCAACCCCAUAGGACACGAAUGGGGCAAGCUCUGUGGGUGCAGAGGUGGCCUAUGGGGUCUCACCCAGACCAGCGAGAGAGGUUCCACCAGGAGCCUUCAGCCUGGUAAACAGCAGGGCAGGGCUGUGACUCCGAUCUUGCUCUGCCUGGCUCUGAAGACGCCGUGUUCUUUGGUAGCUAUGCAGUGAGGUCACCAUGCUCUAGGAACCAACAUUUGUCCUAUUUGGUGUCACCUCAGUCGUUUGGGUUCAGUCCUCAAAAUAGGACACAAGCAUCCACCGACGGGGUGAAGAGAGGAGAACCUGGUUCUGGGAAGAGGACUGCGGUGAGAUGGAUUGGACUGGGGAGAUGCUAGAGAUGGGGACCUGUUGGGGUUACUGUGUUGUCCAGGUGGCUCCAGGAAAAUCAGAUGCAGCUGGGCUGGUUGACAUCACUGUUACCUCCCUCAUCCUUCCCAUACCCAAAGAAAGUCCUGGUGUAUUUUCCUCUCACUGGCAUGGGAACUGAGGCACAGGGAGGUGAGUGGCUUGCCUAGACUCAUACAGUUUGAGCCCAGGCUGGCAUCUAUGCAGAGUCGCAGUCCUGUGGUCUCACAAAGCCAAGACCUGG